Long non-coding RNA from Phyllopteryx taeniolatus (common seadragon), 777 nucleotides. RefSeq lists it as uncharacterized. The transcript is spliced from 5 exons. The record is from RefSeq and is a predicted model, not a curated record. NCBI's taxonomy places the organism in Eukaryota, Metazoa, Chordata, Actinopteri, Syngnathiformes, Syngnathidae.
CUGACAGGGAGCAGCAGCCCUCGGGGUCGGCGUCCCGCAAGUCGGCGAGAUCCCUCAGAGGCACCGGCUUGCAGCCCGAGGGAAGCCCGUUCCUCUGGGCCAGCAUGGCAUCGCCAAGUCCGCGUGGCUCGUUCCUCGGGACGUCCUGCAGACGCACGUUGAUGCUUCCGCUCAGCAGCUGAGUGUGCUGCGGAGAGACCGACCGACCGACUGACUGACGCACCCACCCACUGGCCACACACCCACACACAACUUGGAGCACUGGUCCACGAUGAUCGAUGAUGUCACAUUAUUUAUCGAGCUGACACACCAAUUGCCUUCCCGAGUGUGACGCCACACCCAACGCAAGCCUGACUGUGGCAAAUUCAACGGAACUGCAUCCGUCCGUCGGCGUACCAAGCAUCCGUGGGUCCCUCAAAAGGUUUAACCGGGAGUGACAAAAAAACAUCCCCCCCAAAAAAACAGCUUGAAGCAACCACGCUUUGCCUCUUACUUGAAGAACUGUUCACUGGGCCGCUUUCAUAUGCUAAUAGUCGGGCCGAUUGAGCGGGCCGACAGCCUGGAAUGUUUCUCCACAAAGGAGAAAUGAGAUGGAAGGAGAGCGCAGAGAAAAGGCACAGACAGAAACAUCAGACAACGGCGGGCCAGUGCACAUCUGAAGCCCGUAAGACACUUUGCAAUGAAAGAUCUGCACAUUUUCGUUCCCAACUUGCCUCAAAGAUGAUCACAAUAAAACACAACCGGAAUGAACAUUAUCAUCACUUUCUCUCAUUUGAG